Long non-coding RNA from Haemorhous mexicanus (house finch), 1721 nucleotides. RefSeq lists it as uncharacterized. The transcript has 2 exons. The record is from RefSeq and is a predicted model, not a curated record. NCBI's taxonomy places the organism in Eukaryota, Metazoa, Chordata, Aves, Passeriformes, Fringillidae.
ACUUCAGCUUAAGGGAAAAGCUGCACGUUGAUUGGGUUUUGGAGAAAAAGAUUUGAACGUCCAGCUGUGAAUUGAUCUUGUGUUUUGUCUUCCAGGUUCAUUCCCAUUGUGAUCUGCAAAUGGCAAAUCAGGGUUGCUCUUUGUUAAAACCAAAAGCGCUCUCAGAAUGUUGAUGGAGGUGAUGAUUGCAGGGGCGAUGCUUCUGAAGAAUAGCUCCCCCAUCUUCCCCAGGGCCUGGGCAGAGAGAGGUGGAGCUCGGAGUCCCCCCAGUCCUCCCGCGGGUGCUGGCGUCUGCAGCGCCAUCGGGACGGGAUCCACGGCGCAGCUCCCUCCUCCAGAGGCCGAAGGCUCAGCCUCCAGUUUCGUGCAGGGUGAUCACCUUUCCAAGGCAAUACAAGCACUUCCCAAGAGCAGCUGGUGAAGAUGGCGCAGAAGCAAGGACAAGGGUGCAGUGAAAAGUUUGGUGCAUCGAUCCAGCUUCCGGACAUGGUAGGGAAGACACACCGUUUGCUAAAACACCAAACACGGUACUUUUCAUUCUUUGUGUUUUUCUGUGCCCCCAUUGUGAUCACCCCUGGAAGUAUUAUUUUCGAAAAACAUAUCUAGGAGAGAAAUCGUAACCUGCUUUGCGUCCUUCUGCCUGGAAGGGUUGUGACACAGGGAAGUGAGGAAGGGGCUGGCCGGGGUCAGCCUCUGCUGAGCCUCAGCUCUGGCUGCUGCUCCUGCUUCCCGGGUACACCCAAAAGCUGUCAUGAUCAAAAGAGCAGGCAGCCCUUCUGUCCUGAGUCACAGGGGGCCAUUUCUUCCUGAGUGACUCAAGAUGGGAAAUCAUUCUUGGAGCUUCAAAAGAAAAAAAAAAAAACCUCACGCAAUCAUUUGUAAGUGUGUAUAUAUACACAUAGAUUUCCUUCAAUGAAGAAGAAAAUCUUAGAAAUAUCAUGUCACGUCUGGCUUCCUAGAGAAAAUCCUUAUCUCUGGGCUUCUGAAAUCAAAUGUCUGUGCAUUUAUAGAGCAUUUCCCCUCUUUUUAUGCCUCCCACAGUGAUCUUCUACCCUGCCCCAUGGCAAGAAGAGUUUGGUGAUUUUGCUGCUCUGCUCUCUCAAGGGUGUUGCAGGCUGCGUAGCAGGGAGUGAAGCCCUUGUCGCUGCUCAUCAGACACUUUCCUACAGAAUUCUCCCUGCAGUGAUAAAAUUAGACUUGUGUUAGUGAGCUGCCAAGUAGAGCAGGUAACAUUGGACAAGAAUGGUUUCUGAGCUGCUGUUCACUAGCACGUGUUUCCCCUUUCCAGCGCGGUGCUGCCGCCCAAGAAAGGAUUUUUGUGGGUCAGCCAGAUGUGCUCCUGCCUCCCACUGAGGCUCUGAGAUGGAGCCGAGUUUGCAUUCCAGUUUAUUGCAACAGAGGGUCACGGGAAAUUUCCUCAGCUAGCUCAGGCACAGAGCCAUGGAAGCAAGACAGCACGAAGACUGAACGUGUAAGAAGAUGUGGGGUGCAAUGGAGAACCUGGCAGGAGCAUCCGACGCACACGUGCACGAGUUUUGCUUUUUGCUUGGAUUGAAACUCAAAAGUUGUAAGGAAUUUGGGAAUGAGAUGGGACGUUUCAGAAGAAGAGGAAGGAGGAGAAGAAGUUGUUGUUACAGUGUUACAGUCCUGGCAAAAUCCUUUGUUCUAGCUAAUAAAAGAAGUUAGUUAAAAAAAAAAAAUUAAAAAAAAAAAAAAAAGUG